Long non-coding RNA from Meriones unguiculatus (Mongolian gerbil), 348 nucleotides. RefSeq lists it as uncharacterized. NCBI's taxonomy places the organism in Eukaryota, Metazoa, Chordata, Mammalia, Rodentia, Muridae. The transcript is spliced from 3 exons. The record is from RefSeq and is a predicted model, not a curated record.
GAAGACAGCAGUUCCCAGAAAAGGGCCAACGUUUAUCAUUCCUUUUAGCUGGAGAAGAUGGGCACUGGGCUGGAACAGAACGGCCAGCUUUGGCUUGGUGUAAGGAAGUAAUCGCAGGAGGGAAAGGAGGAAAUGGCCACCUGGAAGCAAUAGGUUGUGAUAUACCUGAGCUUUCUCUGUGAGGGAAGUGCCAUAGAGCAAGCCCAGCGGAAGACGCACCAGUGAUGUGAUGUUAUCUGACACUCAUCUGUCAGGCUAAGGAGUUAAGGCCCUUUAUUUAUUAACCUGCCCGUCUACACAGUCCUUGCAGAGAGUCACCAACAUGUGACAUACACCAACAUGUGACAC